RNAcentral lists this ribosomal RNA (517 nucleotides) under uncultured bacterium. Its description in RNAcentral is "bacterial SSU rRNA". It matches the Rfam family "Bacterial small subunit ribosomal RNA", at positions 8 to 518 of the family's 1533-position model. The record is from RNAcentral.
AGAGUUUGAUCCUGGCUCAGGAUGAACGCUAGCUACAGGCUUAACACAUGCAAGUCGAGGGGCAGCAUUGGAGUAGCAAUACUCAGAUGGCGACCGGCGCACGGGUGAGUAACACGUAUCCAACCUGCCGCUUACUCGGGGAUAGCCUUUCGAAAGAAAGAUUAAUACCCGAUGGUAUAAAGAGUUCGCAUGUUCUCUUUAUUAAAGAAUUUCGGUAAGCGAUGGGGAUGCGUUCCAUUAGAUAGUUGGCGGGGUAACGGCCCACCAAGUCUACGAUGGAUAGGGGUUCUGAGAGGAAGGUCCCCCACAUUGGAACUGAGACACGGUCCAAACUCCUACGGGAGGCAGCAGUGAGGAAUAUUGGUCAAUGGACGAGAGUCUGAACCAGCCCAAGUAGCGUGAAGGAUGACUGCCCUAUGGGUUGUAAACUUCUUUUAUAAGGGAAUAAAGUGAGGGACGUGUCCCUUUUGUAUGUACCUUAUGAAUAAGGAUCGGCUAACUCCGUGCCAGCCGCCGC